AGAGUUUGAUCAUGGCUCAGGACGAACGCUGGCGGCGUGCUUAACACAUGCAAGUCGAACGGAAAGGCCCUUCGGGGUACUCGAGUGGCGAACGGGUGAGUAACACGUGGGUGAUCUGCCCUGCACUUUGGGAUAAGCCUGGGAAACUGGGUCUAAUACCGAAUAUGACCAUGCGCCUCCUGGUGUGUGGUGGAAAGCUUUUGCGGUGUGGGAUGGGCCCGCGGCCUAUCAGCUUGUUGGUGGGGUAAUGGCCUACCAAGGCGACGACGGGUAGCCGGCCUGAGAGGGUGACCGGCCACACUGGGACUGAGAUACGGCCCAGACUCCUACGGGAGGCAGCAGUGGGGAAUAUUGCACAAUGGGCGCAAGCCUGAUGCAGCGACGCCGCGUGAGGGAUGACGGCCUUCGGGUUGUAAACCUCUUUCAGCACAGACGAAGCGCAAGUGACGGUAUGUGCAGAAGAAGGACCGGCCAACUACGUGCCAGCAGCCGCGGUAAUACGUAGGGUCCGAGCGUUGUCCGGAAUUACUGGGCGUAAAGAGCUCGUAGGUGGUUUGUCGCGUUGUUCGUGAAAACUCACAGCUUAACUGUGGGCGUGCGGGCGAUACGGGCAGACUUGAGUACUGCAGGGGAGACUGGAAUUCCUGGUGUAGCGGUGGAAUGCGCAGAUAUCAGGAGGAACACCGGUGGCGAAGGCGGGUCUCUGGGCAAUAACUGACGCUGAGGAGCGAAAGCGUGGGGAGCGAACAGGAUUAGAUACCCCGGUAGUCC
RNAcentral lists this ribosomal RNA (771 nucleotides) under uncultured bacterium. RNAcentral's name for it is "bacterial SSU rRNA". It matches the Rfam family "Bacterial small subunit ribosomal RNA", at positions 8 to 796 of the family's 1533-position model. The record is from RNAcentral.